This 449-nucleotide ribosomal RNA is filed under the name uncultured bacterium. RNAcentral describes it as "partial 16S ribosomal RNA". It matches the Rfam family "Bacterial small subunit ribosomal RNA", at positions 29 to 523 of the family's 1533-position model. The record is from RNAcentral.
AACGAACGCUGGCGGCAGGCCUAACACAUGCAAGUCGAGCGGACCCUUCGGGGUUAGCGGCGGACGGGUGAGUAACGCGCGGGAAUAUGCCCGUCUCUGCGGAAUAGCCUCGGGAAACUGAGAGUAAUACCGCAUACGCCCUUUGGGGGAAAGAUUUAUCGGGGAAGGAUUAGCCCGCGUUGGAUUGGGUAGUUGGUGGGGUAAUGGCCUACCAAGCCGACGAUCCAUAGCUGGUUUGAGAGGAUGAUCAGCCACACUGGGACUGAGACACGGCCCAGACUCCUACGGGAGGCAGCAGUGGGGAAUCUUAGACAAUGGGGGCAACCCUGAUCUAGCCAUGCCGCGUGAGUGAUGAAGGCCUUAGGGUUGUAAAGCUCUUUCAGCUGGGAAGAUAAUGACGGUACCAGCAGAAGAAGCCCCGGCUAACUCCGUGCCAGCCGCCGCAGUAA